UCUGCAGGAUAUUUCGAACAAGAUCUUUGUUCGAAUAUACUUUCCCAAGAGCAUGGAGAUCGUUGAUUAUCAUCGAGAAUCGAUCAAACAUAUCAUCGAUGCUUUCAGGCUCCUUCAUUCUAAUGAGUUCAUAUUCAUGUGUUGGAAAAUCAACUCUAGCUUCUCGGGCUUGAGGCGUACCUUCAUAAGUGAUUUCAAGCUU
This 202-nucleotide long non-coding RNA is filed under the name Nicotiana benthamiana. Its description in RNAcentral is "long non-coding RNA (NBEN_LNC033453)". Lineage: Eukaryota; Viridiplantae; Streptophyta; Magnoliopsida; Solanales; Solanaceae. The record is from RNAcentral.